This 492-nucleotide ribosomal RNA is filed under the name uncultured bacterium. Its description in RNAcentral is "partial 16S ribosomal RNA". It matches the Rfam family "Bacterial small subunit ribosomal RNA", at positions 28 to 507 of the family's 1533-position model. The record is from RNAcentral.
GAUGAACGCUAGCUACAGGCUUAACACAUGCAAGUCGAGGGGAAACGACAUCGAAAGCUUGCUUUUGAUGGGCGUCGACCGGCGCACGGGUGAGUAACGCGUAUCCAACCAGCCCACCACUUGGGGAUAACCUUGCGAAAGUAAGACUAAUACCCAAUGAUAUCUCUAGAAGACAUCUGAAAGAGAUUAAAGAUUUAUCGGUGAUGGAUGGGGAUGCGUCUGAUUAGCUUGUUGGCGGGGUAACGGCCCACCAAGGCAACGAUCAGUAGGGGUUCUGAGAGGAAGGUCCCCCACAUUGGAACUGAGACACGGUCCAAACUCCUACGGGAGGCAGCAGUGAGGAAUAUUGGUCAAUGGACGAGAGUCUGAACCAGCCAAGUAGCGUGCAGGAAGACGGCCCUAUGGGUUGUAAACUGCUGUUAUAAGGGAAUAAAGUGAGUCUCGUGAGACUUUUUGCAUGUACCUUAUGAAUAAGGACCGGCUAAUUCCGUG